AACGCGAAGAACCUUACCAGGGCUUAAAUGGGGAACGACGUUUUGGGAAACCAGAAUUUCUUCGGACGGUCCUCAAGGUGCUGCAUGGUUGUCGUCAGCUCGUGCCGUGAGGUGUUGGGUUAAGUCCCGCAACGAGCGCAACCCCUACUGUUAGUUGCCAACGGGUAAUGCCGGGGACUCUAACGGAACUGCCUGUGCAAACAGAGAGGAAGGUGGGGAUGACGUCAAAUCAUCACGGCCCUUACGUCCUGGGCUACACACGUGCUACAAUGGUCGGUACAGAGGGCAGCCACUUCGUGAGAAGGAGCGAAUCCUUAAAGCCGAUCUCAGUUCGGAUUGUAGUCUGCAACUCGACUACAUGAAGCUGGAAUCGCUAGUAAUCGCGCAUCAGCCAUGGCGCGGUGAAUACGUUCCCGGGUCUGUACACACCG
This 431-nucleotide ribosomal RNA is filed under the name uncultured bacterium. RNAcentral's name for it is "bacterial SSU rRNA". It matches the Rfam family "Bacterial small subunit ribosomal RNA", at positions 958 to 1392 of the family's 1533-position model. The record is from RNAcentral.